GGGCGAUUAGCUCAGGGGCUAGAGCGCUACCUUGACACGGUAGAGGCCACUGGUUCGAUUCCAGUAUCGCCCACCC
Molecule: transfer RNA, 76 nt
Filed under: Actinomycetes bacterium
Lineage: Bacteria; Bacillati; Actinomycetota; Actinomycetes
Description: Actinobacteria bacterium tRNA-Val
Rfam family: tRNA
About the family: Transfer RNA (tRNA) molecules are approximately 80 nucleotides in length. Their secondary structure includes four short double-helical elements and three loops (D, anti-codon, and T loops). Further hydrogen bonds mediate the characteristic L-shaped molecular structure. tRNAs have two regions of fundamental functional importance: the anti-codon, which is responsible for specific mRNA codon recognition, and the 3' end, to which the tRNAs corresponding amino acid is attached (by aminoacyl-tRNA synthetases). tRNAs cope with the degeneracy of the genetic code in two manners: having more than one tRNA (with a specific anti-codon) for a particular amino acid; and 'wobble' base-pairing, i.e. permitting non-standard base-pairing at the 3rd anti-codon position.
Source: RNAcentral